This 858-nucleotide ribosomal RNA is filed under the name uncultured marine bacterium. Its description in RNAcentral is "bacterial SSU rRNA". It matches the Rfam family "Bacterial small subunit ribosomal RNA", at positions 66 to 920 of the family's 1533-position model. The record is from RNAcentral.
GCGAGAAAGUAUCUUCGGAUAUGAGUAGAGCGGCGGACGGGUGAGUAACGCGUAGGAAUCUACCUAGUAGAAGGGGAUAGCCCGGGGAAACCCGGAUUAAUACCGUAUACCUCCUUCGGGAGAAAGAAGGCCUCUCUUUGAAGCUUUCGCUACUAGAUGAGCCUGCGUAAGAUUAGCUAGUUGGUGAGGUAAUGGCUCACCAAGGCUACGAUCUUUAGCUGGUCUGAGAGGACGAUCAGCCACAUUGGGACUGAGACACGGCCCAGACUCCUACGGGAGGCAGCAGUGGGGAAUAUUGGACAAUGGGCGCAAGCCUGAUCCAGCCAUACCGCGUGUGUGAAGAAGGCCUUCGGGUUGUAAAGCACUUUAAGCAGGGAGAAAAAGUUAUAGGUUAAUACCCUAUGACCUUGAUGUUACCUGCAGAAUAAGCACCGGCUAAUUCCGUGCCAGCAGCCGCGGUAAUACGGAAGGUGCAAGCGUUAAUCGGAAUUACUGGGCGUAAAGCGCGCGUAGGUGGUUUGUUAAGUUGGAUGUGAAAGCCCUGGGCUCAACCUAGGAACUGCAUCCAAAACUAACUCACUAGAGUACGAUAGAGGGAGGUAGAAUUCAUAGUGUAGCGGUGGAAUGCGUAGAUAUUAUGAAGAAUACCAGUGGCGAAGGCGGCCUCCUGGAUCUGUACUGACCCUGAGGUGCGAAAGCGUGGGUAGCGAACAGGAUUAGAUACCCUGGUAGUCCACGCCGUAAACGAUGACAACUAGCUGUUGGGAGACUAUGUCUUUCAGUGGCGCAGCUAACGCUUUAAGUUGUCCGCCUGGGGAGUACGGCGCAAGGCUAAAACUCAAGUGAACUGACGGGACC